GUCUCUGUGGUGCAAUUGGUCAGCGCGUUCGGCUGUUAACCGAAAGGUUGGUGGUUCAAGCCCACCCAGGGACG
Gasterosteus aculeatus (three-spined stickleback) is the source of this 74-nucleotide transfer RNA. It matches the Rfam family "tRNA". Rfam says of the family: Transfer RNA (tRNA) molecules are approximately 80 nucleotides in length. Their secondary structure includes four short double-helical elements and three loops (D, anti-codon, and T loops). The record is from Rfam. NCBI's taxonomy places the organism in Eukaryota, Metazoa, Chordata, Actinopteri, Perciformes, Gasterosteidae.